Paramacrobiotus metropolitanus is the source of this 2608-nucleotide long non-coding RNA. RefSeq lists it as uncharacterized. Lineage: Eukaryota; Metazoa; Tardigrada; Eutardigrada; Parachela; Macrobiotidae. The transcript has 4 exons. The record is from RefSeq and is a predicted model, not a curated record.
GUUUUGCCAACUUUAUAAUUUUCAAGUGUUAACAGCAUUAUUGGCCAUCCACGAAGUGCAUAAGUGAUCGCCGACAUGAAAAAUUUAUAAAGGUCACACAGUGUUUUGGCGUUUGCGCAAAGCACCGAAAAAAAACGAAUGCAAUACCGCGUCAAAAAUACGAUCGCGGUACGUCCGCAGCGAGGAAGCACACAACCGGAAUACGGCUUGCGGAUGUUCAUAGGAAAUCGUUCUUCUUCCUAGCCUGCCCCGUGGCAUGGCUACCAUGGUAGCAGAGUCAUAAGAUCCGCCAAAUCUGAGCAUAAUUUCAUAUUUCCAAGCAAUAUCUCAUCUUCUUGGGAACUUGGCGUGGUGGACGUCAAUUCUUUGAAGCGGUAUUGUCGUGAUUUUGUCGUGAAGCAUUGCCCUUUACCGGGAUUUACUGACAGCAAUAUCUGGAGCCUAGUUGCAGGGUUUCGGGUACUUGUGGAUUACGGAGCGGUGAGCCACUGUGCGCGAAACCCGUGCAGUUUGGUUUGUGGAGAGAAGUGUUGCGGUGAGACACGGUUCUCGAAACUCCGUGCAGCAAGGAUUGUGGUAGAUCGAAGCAUUAUGGCAGACCAGCAAUGUCCAAACUGUGCGCGUACAGGACGUUUGUGUGUGACUUGCAUCAUGAAACAGGCGCCGAACGUACAGCAGCGCGUGUUCAUGUUGCACUUGGAAGCACUGCUGGGAAAUUACCAGGCAUUCCAGUGUCUCCUGUUGCGCGCCCACUGGGAGCAUGUCAUCGUCAACCGCGAUUACUACGAGCAGAUUCAACUCGCAGUUGACCACUUCCGCAUUACAAAGGAGGGCUGAAGUAAGGCGCAGCAUGUGCCCGCCUGGGACGAGAUGAAGGCGCAAGAGCACCAGCAUCAGGAGCUCAUGGCGCAAGCCCGACAGCAGUUGAACGCCGAACAGCGCCCUCCAGUCCAACAUGAUCAGUCAGCCGUAGCAAUCCCAGCCGCAGUAGCUCAAUAGCAGUGGAAUACCGUUGGCCGUCAGCCGUUUGGUGCACGCCACUUCCCUGAUCGCUCAGCGGUAACUAUCAUUAAUAAACCUCGUAAUGACCGCACUUUAUUAAUUAAACCAAAGCAUGCUAUUAAAAAUAAUAAGCAAUGCCUCAGAAUCAGCAUCAGCGCCGCGUCGACGUACCGGCAGCACAGCCGCGCCAGUAAAGCACUCGCAUGCCUAAUUUACCGCCUGCAGAUUGACCGCGCAGAUCGGAUUCUGUUGACGUUGGGUUUUGAUAAGCAUGACCUGCGUUAAUUGAUGAAAAGCAUGCUGACCCGUACAUUGAGCUCUCUGGACCGCUUUCUGGCGUAUUCCGGUUUGUUGGUGGAGAUGCAGUCUGAAAAGUAUAACUACCAUGAUGAUCGUCCGAAGAAGGGAUAACUCGAUAUCCGGUAUGGUUAUGUUCGCAGGAGUGGCAUGUCUUCAGCAUUAAAUCCUGAGAACUUUGAACACAGACAAUUGAUAUCGAAGCAUUGAGCCAACUGGUGUAUCAUCCGCGUAAAAGCGUGAUCCCGUACUUGUUCAAUUUUGUCAGUCCAGAUGCGAACGGUGCAAACCUGUUGUAUGCCGGUGGUGUAGCAAUAUUUACGGAUGAGAUGUUGGUCAUGAUGAAGGAAGAGCAAGAUUUCCGUAACAUGGACCGCCGUAAGCAGCAGAUAAUGGUGAAUUAUGUGCGUUUGUACUUUGGCGCAUUGUUGGGACAUCAUGGAUGUCAUAAGAAAUUGACCGACGCUCCGCAUGAAGACAGCGCUUUCUUCCACGAAGCUGUAGUCAAUUUGGGACCGACAUAAAACGUGCAAGAGAAGAUUAAUCGCAUUCGCCUCGCAUUGGAAACCGGCGCGGAUAGAGUUGCGGGAAAGCAGGUUGAGCAGUUGGUAGCGAAUCCGCAUGAUGCCGUUGAGGACGUACUCACUCGGCUGCAAAAGCUGAAGGACAAGUACGAGCCGCAAGGUGGCCAUCCGCAGCAAGUCGCACAUCACCAGCCACAACACCAGCCUGUGUUCAACUUGAACCCGCAGGGAAACGCUGCACUGUUGCAAGGUAUCGUCCCGGCAGGUGAGAAGGCCGCAAUGGACGGAGUCGAAGACUCAAAUGGUGGAUAGCGUGGCGCAUUUGGAUUUCCAUGGAGCAGAAACCAUGGAGCAUUCGGGAAAACACAAGUAGUUUGAAUUAGCAUGUACCGAAAUUCUCAGCAAUAUUAUGUUGUUAAUUAGCAAUAUUUUCUGUAAGCAAUAUUUCUUCUGAAUUCCGCAAUAGACUUCAUUUGUCAGGAUUUCUUCGAUGGACAAUAGACUGGCAGCCUUAUAGGCGCAGUCUGGAUGUGGAUUACGGACUGACACGCAGCCUCAUAGGAGGUGUCGGAAUGAAUGGACAUUUAACGGUGGAACUGGAUUUUUUAUAAUUUGAUUACAUUCCUGUUUAACCAAAGUUUAACAGAUCUCUAUGGAUAUUUCUUUAGUUUAUUGAGCUUAACUCACAAUUUCAUUUAUUUAUUUUUAUUAAACAGCGGAUCAGUGACUGGUUAGUUGUGUGAGCGACAGUGUAACAGUGGAUUUUGAAGCAGUAAAAUUCUUCA